Molecule: ribosomal RNA, 206 nt
Filed under: uncultured soil bacterium
Lineage: Bacteria
Description: partial 16S ribosomal RNA
Rfam family: Bacterial small subunit ribosomal RNA
Source: RNAcentral
CAGGACGAACGCUGGCGGCGUGCUUAACACAUGCAAGUCGAGCGGAAAGGCCUUUCGGGGUACUCGAGCGGCGAACGGGUGAGUAACACGUGAGUAAUCUGCCCAUCGCUUCAGGAUAGCCAUCGGGAAACGGUGAUUAAUACUGGAUAUGACAUUCCUUCGCAUGUUGGGGUGUGGUAAGUUUUUCGGCGGUGAUGUGCUCGCGG